UGACAGAAAUACUAAAGCUGCACGUCAAUCAAUGACUGGGGUACUGGUCCCACUGUCAAGCAAUAAGCCAUCAGCUAUUUUUCAUCAUUUUAUAUAUAUAUAUAUAACUAUGGCCAUCAAGGCGUAGUAUCUGCACAGACUUUAGCGCUCAGCUCAUAUUGGUAUUUAAUAGGCAUCCUCCGAUGAACAAGUCACUGAAAUGCAAGAAUACAUCUUAGAUGAAGAGGACGGAGGUGCACCACUGAUCUCACAACAGGAAGUCAGCUCGACAAAACCGCACGCGGCAUCUCAAGGCUUCCUCUUCCGCAUCACUGAGCCAGAUAAAAACACUGAAUUCAGGCACCGCCGACGCUGCCGUUUGCCCUCGCAACACACACACAC
This is a long non-coding RNA of Rhinichthys klamathensis goyatoka, 381 nucleotides long. RefSeq lists it as uncharacterized. The record is from RefSeq and is a predicted model, not a curated record. Lineage: Eukaryota; Metazoa; Chordata; Actinopteri; Cypriniformes; Leuciscidae. The transcript is spliced from 3 exons.